Molecule: ribosomal RNA, 440 nt
Filed under: Spionidae sp. NHM 2123
Lineage: Eukaryota; Metazoa; Annelida; Polychaeta; Spionida; Spionidae
Description: partial large subunit ribosomal RNA
Rfam family: Bacterial large subunit ribosomal RNA
Source: RNAcentral
AAGGUAGCAUAAUAAAUUGCCUCUUAAUUGGUGGCUAGAAUCAACGAACAUACGAAAGCUUAACUGUUUCAUUAUUAUCCAUAAAAACUAUCCUUUAAGUGAAAAGACUUAAAUAAAAUAAAAAGACAAAAAGACCCUGUUGAGCUUUAUUUUAUAAGAGGGGACCAUAAAAAACCUAUAAUAAAUAACCCACCCUCUCUAAAAAUUCGGUUGGGGCGACCAGAGAAGACCUAAAUCUUCUCCUCAAAAAAGAAAAUCCUUCUUUAAAAUGAUCCAUAAAAAUGAUUAACAGAUCCAGCUACCACAGGGAUAACAGGCUAAUCUUCUUUAAGAGCCCAAAUUGACAAGAAGGUUUGGCACCUCGAUGUUGGCUUAGGGUACCUAUCGGACGCAGAAGUCUAAUAAGUGGGUUUGUUCAACCCUUAAAACCCUACGUGAUC